RNAcentral lists this ribosomal RNA (435 nucleotides) under uncultured bacterium. RNAcentral describes it as "bacterial SSU rRNA". It matches the Rfam family "Bacterial small subunit ribosomal RNA", at positions 28 to 426 of the family's 1533-position model. The record is from RNAcentral.
GACGAACGCUGGCGGCGUGCCUAAUACAUGCAAGUCGAACGCACUCUCGUUUAGAUUGAAGGAGCUUGCUCCUGAUUGAUAAACAUUUGAGUGAGUGGCGGACGGGUGAGUAACACGUGGGUAACCUGCCCUAAAGUGGGGGAUAACAUUUGGAAACAGAUGCUAAUACCGCAUAAAAACCUAAACACCGCAUGGUGUAGGGUUGAAAGAUGGUUUCGGCUAUCACUUUAGGAUGGACCCGCGGUGCAUUAGUUAGUUGGUGAGGUAAAGGCUCACCAAGACCGUGAUGCAUAGCCGACCUGAGAGGGUAAAUCGGCCACACUGGGACUGAGACACGGCCCAGACUCCUACGGGAGGCAGCAGUAGGGAAUCUUCCACAAUGGACGAAAGUCUGAUGGAGCAACGCCGCGUGAGUGAAGAAGGUUUUCGGAUCGU